UCAUGUCGGUAUCUCACCCUAUACUAGAAAACCUCAAUCACACAAAACUUAAUGAAACUUCGUGAGAUGGGUUAGUGUAAUAAAGAUAGAACAUUCACUUAGGUGUUUUCAAGACAAGAUUCAUAAUUGUUAUCACAUAAUACCUACUGUAUUCUAUCAUUCACACCAUUUGUAUGACUAAAUAUACGCUAUGGAAACACUAAAAAAAGCAAACUAUGAAUGCAAAACAGAAUCUGUCAAAAACAUAAUAGUGUGUGAAGAUCUG
RNAcentral lists this long non-coding RNA (265 nucleotides) under Hordeum vulgare. RNAcentral's name for it is "long non-coding RNA (HVUL_LNC020187)". Lineage: Eukaryota; Viridiplantae; Streptophyta; Magnoliopsida; Poales; Poaceae. The record is from RNAcentral.